Molecule: transfer RNA, 74 nt
Filed under: Trebouxia sp. A1-2
Lineage: Eukaryota; Viridiplantae; Chlorophyta; Trebouxiophyceae; Trebouxiales; Trebouxiaceae
Also listed under: 2 other names
Description: tRNA-Ile
Rfam family: tRNA
About the family: Transfer RNA (tRNA) molecules are approximately 80 nucleotides in length. Their secondary structure includes four short double-helical elements and three loops (D, anti-codon, and T loops). Further hydrogen bonds mediate the characteristic L-shaped molecular structure. tRNAs have two regions of fundamental functional importance: the anti-codon, which is responsible for specific mRNA codon recognition, and the 3' end, to which the tRNAs corresponding amino acid is attached (by aminoacyl-tRNA synthetases). tRNAs cope with the degeneracy of the genetic code in two manners: having more than one tRNA (with a specific anti-codon) for a particular amino acid; and 'wobble' base-pairing, i.e. permitting non-standard base-pairing at the 3rd anti-codon position.
Source: RNAcentral
GGGCGUGUAACUCAGUGGUUUAGAGUAUACGCCUGAUAAGCGUAAAGUCGAAGGUUCAAGUCCUUCCACGCCCA